GAAGUUGCACUUUAUACACUGUGCUUCUUCCUUGGUGGAGAGGACAACCAUGUCGAGCUCGGACCAUAUGCUGUUAAUAUCAAGUGUUAUCGAUUUGGAAACAAAAUGGGGUCAGUGUUUCCAAUAGCAGAGUGUUGAAGUUCCUUCCCUGAGAUUAAUCCAAUAAACAUCUAAGAAAGGAUUGUAUCAUAGAUUAAGAGAUGAGUAGUAUGAGAUGUAACACCUGUAGAAUGUGACAACAAUAGGUAUCAAUCACAAUAUGUGAUGGAAAAAGAUGAUUCUCAGGAUGUACUUAUUUCCUUCUAGGAGGAUACUGAAACUUUUGUAUUAUUACAUGGAUUUGCAAAUGGUUUUGUGAAGAUACUGAGUCCA
RNAcentral lists this long non-coding RNA (372 nucleotides) under Cucumis sativus (cucumber). Its description in RNAcentral is "long non-coding RNA (CSAT_LNC000837)". The record is from RNAcentral. Lineage: Eukaryota; Viridiplantae; Streptophyta; Magnoliopsida; Cucurbitales; Cucurbitaceae.